AUGGCGAGAGCAAGCAAGUGGAGGUCUGUGCCCCCGUCUUCCUUUGUUUUACUACUCCCCUUCCUCAUCAACCUUGUGUGCCCCGGCUGGAAAUUCACGGAUGCAGGAGACACGCUCCUUCCUGGGCAAUCUCUAAAUGCUACCCAGAUCCUGCUCUCAAACAAUGGUGUCUUCAAGUUGGGUUUCAACUGCUCAUUCUCGCAAUAUAGUUAUUACCGGUAUUGUGGUUUUGGCACCUGGUUCACUAACUCAUCGUCCCAUGAUGAUUAUUCGCCGGUUUGGCAACCUGAUCAGCUAUCGAUUUAUGUUUGCGAGUCAUCAUCAGUUACCCUAUCAGAGAAAGGAAAACUACAUAUAACCGAUGGAGUUGGCAAUGUCCAUUUGAUCUCAGAUUACGCGAUGACCACUUCUAACUCUGCCAUUGCAGUGCUUCUUGAUAAUGGAAAUCUUGUAUUAAGAGACCAAGCAAACAGUUCCCAGGUGCUUUGGCAGAGUUUUGAUUACCCAACUGGUACACUGCUCCCUGGAAUGCACCUAGGGUCCAGCAUGAUCCUUUAUUCUUAUCUUAGUAAUUAUACUGAGUAUGACGUUUAUAUUGCAAAUUUUACUCUGAGUGUGGAUGCAACAAGAAGGCGAGGUUUUAUUAUUCAGCAGAAUCCUAUUGGUUUAGUGUUUGCUGGUACUUUUCCUAGCUGGAUAGUUCGUGAAGAUGGAGACUCUGUUCUGACACUAAACGACGCACAUACAUACAUGCGUUUAAAUGGCUCUGGAUUUGUUGAAUUUGCUAAGCAAGAGACACGCAGUUCUAUUUUGUGGUCUGCUCCAGACAGUUUAUGCGACUUUGAGUCAAACUGUGGACCUUAUGGUAUCUGCAAAAGGUCAGGCUUCUGCACAUGCCCUGCCGGUUUUGAUCCAUUGAGCACAAAAUCAAGGAAUUGUCUUGGCUGUUCGAGGGAGGUUCCUAUGAAUUGUGGAAGAGACAAUUCAACUCAUCGGCAAGUGGCGUUUUAUCCAAUAGAUGGCGUCUACAAGUUCCCCACGAAUUCUUGGCCCUCUGAUGCCAGAAAUCUGAAAGAGUGUGAAGCCUCCUGCUUAAAGGACUGUACCUGUACUGCCUUUGCUUACAAUGUGACAUGCCUGUUAUGGUUUUGGGAGUUACGGAACACAGUAGUGCUUGACUCUGGUUCAAAUGGCAAUCGUUUGUACAUACGUGUUGCCACCAAACAACAACAUGAAACUUCGGGUUUCAGAGCUGCUCCUCUGUUUCUAACGGCAAUGGCCGCGUUAACCAUCAUUGUUAUUGUCAUUGGUCUGACUGUUUUGUGGAGAUGCAGAACAAAGUUAUUCAGAGCAAGAACUAUGUAUGAAAACGGAAGCCUUGUGGUUUUCUCAUUUGCACAAAUAAAGAACUCAACAAAAAAAUUCUCUGAAAAACUCGGAGAAGGUGGUUUUGGCUGUGUUUUCAUGGGGACAUUGCCAGGUUCUGCCGCAGUGGCCGUCAAAAGGCUAAAAUGCCUUGGACAAGGAGAGAAGCAGUUUCGAGCAGAGGUGCAGACCAUUGGGAUGAUUCAACACAACAAUCUUGUUCGGCUACUUGGAUUCUGUGCUGAUAGCAGUAGCAGGUUAUUGGUGUAUGAGUACAUGGAAAAAGGUUCUUUAAACUCACAUCUCUUCCGUAAGGAUUCUGCAAAACUGAGCUGGAAGCUGCGGUACCAUAUAGCACUUGGAACAGCAAGAGGCCUGGCUUAUCUGCACGAGGAGUGCAAGGAUUGCAUUAUACACUGCGACAUGAAGCCGGACAAUGUACUUCUUGAUGCACAGUUCUGUCCCAAGAUUGCCGACUUUGGUAUGGCGAAGCUUCUUGGUCGAGAUUUCAGUAGGGCCCUGACAACAAUGAGAGGGACCAUCGGAUACCUUGCACCGGAGUGGAUCUCAGGGCUGCCGAUCACACAUAAGGCUGACGUCUACAGCUAUGGAAUGAUGCUUUUUGAAAUCAUAUCAGGGCGAAGAAAUGCGGAGAAAAUUAAAGAAGGGAGCUUUACUUACUUUCCCAUCUUUGCUGCAGUCAAGGUGCAUGAAGGGGAUGUUAUGUGCCUGUUGGAUAGCAGGUUGGAAGGCGAUGCGGAUUUGGAGCAGCUGAGCAGAGCUUGCAGAAUUGCGUGUUGGUGCAUUCAAGAUGCUGAAGAUCAUAGGCCAAUGAUGGGGCAAGUUGUUCAGAUGCUAGAAGGUGUUCUGGAUGUCGAAGUACCUCCCAUUCCAAGGUCACUGCAGAAUUUUGUGGGCAUGGAGGAUUGA
RNAcentral lists this ribosomal RNA (2295 nucleotides) under Triticum aestivum (bread wheat). Its description in RNAcentral is "partial small subunit ribosomal RNA". Lineage: Eukaryota; Viridiplantae; Streptophyta; Magnoliopsida; Poales; Poaceae. The record is from RNAcentral.